UACGGGGGGGGCAAGCGUUGUUCGGAAUUACUGGGCGUAAAGGGCUCGUAGGUGGCCAACUAAGUCAGACGUGAAAUCCCUCGGCUUAACCGGGGAACUGCGUCUGAUACUGGAUGGCUUGAGUUCGGGAGAGGGAUGCGGAAUUCCAGGUGUAGCGGUGAAAUGCGCAGAGAUCGGGAGGAACACCCGUAGCGAAGGCGGCACUCUGGGCCGGUACUGACGCUGAGGAGCGAAAGCGUGGGGAGCAAACAGG
RNAcentral lists this ribosomal RNA (253 nucleotides) under uncultured bacterium. RNAcentral's name for it is "partial 16S ribosomal RNA". It matches the Rfam family "Bacterial small subunit ribosomal RNA", at positions 524 to 776 of the family's 1533-position model. The record is from RNAcentral.